AUUACUUACUGCGGUUGUGUCUCAAUAGCAUUCUAAUUGAUUUACAAUAAUUCUAAUACUCGUACAUUUAUUAACACGUAAUGAUAUAUUCAUUCGAUUAAAUAUUUUAAUAAAUCUAAAUUGUUAUUUGUAUCAUAGUUUUACUAGACAUGCUAUUAUACUAGAUUUUUAACUCUAUUAAUAUAGAGUAUAGAGAUUCAAUAUUUGUAUGGAAUAAUUACAUUAAUGGUGUAAACUAUACAAUUUAGAACACAAUAAAGUGGUAUGAAGAAAGAAAAAAAAUUGUUGAAAUAAAAUCAUUUUUAUUGUACCUACUUCAAUAGUUUGUAAUAAUAUGCAUUAUCCUUAUACAGAAUAAUAAGAAAACUUCCUAAAAUGUCAAUUAUAUAGUCGUUUUAAAUUGUUUGUGCAUCACUGGAACAUAAUCAUCGUAUUUGGCAUAAAAGAAAUUACCAGCCACUGGGUCACCAAACUUGUGAUUUUGUACAAAUAGUUUAGUGUUAAAACUGAUCCGAUGUGCAAUAGUUCUAAAAAUGUAGAAUACAAAUAUAUAGUACUACUGAACUAAUAAUACUUACCUACUACUUAC
Non-coding RNA from Cinara cedri, 589 nucleotides. NCBI's taxonomy places the organism in Eukaryota, Metazoa, Arthropoda, Insecta, Hemiptera, Aphididae. The record is from the annotation of a GenBank genome assembly.